This 1646-nucleotide ribosomal RNA is filed under the name metagenome. RNAcentral describes it as "SSU rRNA". It matches the Rfam family "Eukaryotic small subunit ribosomal RNA". The record is from RNAcentral.
CUAGAUUUUACUCUACUUGGAUAACUGUGGUAAUUCUAGAGCUAAUACAUGCAAUUAAGCUCGGACCAUUGGUAAGAGCGCAUUUAUUAGAUCAAAACCAAUCGAGCUUCGGCUCGUGGUUUGAUGACUCUGAAUAACUAAGCAGAUCGCACAGUCUUGUACUGGCGACGUAUCUUUCAAGUGUCAGCCUUAUCAACUUUCGAUGGUAGGUUAUAUGCCUACCAUGGUUAUAACGGGUAACGGAGAAUUAGGGUUCGACUCCGGAGAGGGAGCCUGAGAAAUGGCUACCACAUCCAAGGAAGGCAGCAGGCGCGCAAAUUACCCAAUCCCAGUACGGGGAGGUAGUGACGAAAAAUAACGAGAUAGUCCACUUUGUGGCCUGUCAUCGGAAUGGGUACAAUUUAAAUCCUUUAACGAGGAUCAAUUAGAGGGCAAGUCUGGUGCCAGCAGCCGCGGUAAUUCCAGCUCUAAUAGCGUAUAUUAAAGUUGUUGUGGUUAAAACGCCCGUAGUUGAUUUUUCGACUCUGGCAGUCGGUUGCCCGAAAGGGUCUUACUUGGCUUGUCGAGUCUGAAUUUGAGUUUUCUGCUGCUGCUCUUAAUUGAGUGACAGUAGUGACUCAACGUUUUACUUUGAAAAAAUUAGAGUGCUUAACGCAAGCUGUACGCUUGAAUAGAGUGCAUGGGAUAAUGGAAGAGGACUUCAGUUCUAUUUUGUUGGUUUUCGGAAUUGAAGUAAUGAUUAAGAGGAACUGACGGUGGCAUUCGUAUUGUUGCGUUAGAGGUGAAAUUCUUGGAUCGCAGCAAGACGAACAACUGCGAAAGCAUUUGCCAAGAAUGUCUUCAUUAAUCAAGGACGAAAGUUAGAGGUUCGAAGGCGAUCAGAUACCGCCCUAGUUCUAACCGUAAACGAUGCCAACUGGCCAUUCGUCGGUGUUAAUUUAUGACCCGACGGGCAGCUUCCGGGAAACCAAAGUUUUUUGGUUCCGGGGGAAGUAUGGUUGCAAAGCUUAAACUUAAAGGAAUUGACGGAAGGGCACCACCAGGAGUGGAGCCUGCGGCUUAAUUUGACCCAACACGGGAAAUCUCACCCGGCCAAGACACAAUGAGGAUUGACAGAUUGAUAGCUCUUUCUCGAUUUUGUGGGUGGUGGUGCAUGGCCGUUCUUAGUUGGUGGAGUGAUUUGUCUGGUUAAUUCCGAUAACGAACGAGACUCUGGCCUAUUAAAUAGGAGCGAUAUUUUUGGUAUCGUGUCCUUCUUAGAGGGACUGGUAGCUUCUAGCUACACGAGAUUGAGCAAUAACAGGUCUGUGAUGCCCUUAGAUGUCCGGGGCUGCACGCGCGCUACAAUGAAGGUAGCACAGUGCAAAUUACCUUGUCCGAAAGGACUUGGCAAUCACGAAUUACUUUCGUGCUUGGGAUAGGGAAUUGCAAUUAUUUCCCUUGAACGAGGAAUUUCUAGUAAGUGUGAGUCAUAAGCUCAUGUUGAUUACGUCCCUGCCCUUUGUACACACCGCCCGUCGCUACUACUGACUGGAAGAUUCAGUGAAACUAUCGGACCGGGUCGAGAUUGGCUUCGCGGCCGAGCUCUGAUCUAGAAAGAUAGUUAAACUGUAUGUUCUGAAAGAAGUAAAAGUCGUAACAAGGUU